AUUGAACGCUGGCGGCAGGCCUAACACAUGCAAGUCGAGCGAGCGGCGGACGGGUGAGUAAUGUAUGGGGAUCUGCCUGAUGGAGGGGGAUAACUACUGGAAACGGUAGCUAAUACCGCAUACCAUCAUAUGAACCCAUAUGGGAUUAGCUUGUAGGUGGGGUAACGGCUCACCUAGGCGACGACCCCUAGCUGGUCUGAGAGGAUGAUGAGCCAGACUGGUACUGAGACACGGCCCAGACGCCUAGGGGAGGCAGCAGUGGGUAAGAUUGGACAAUGGCGGAAAGCCUGAUGCAGCCAUGCGGCGUGUAUGAAGAAGGCCUUCGGGUUUUAAAGUUUUUUCGGUAGCGAGGCGUUAACUACCGAAGAAGCACCGGCUAACUCCGUGCCAGCAGCCGCGGUAAUAC
RNAcentral lists this ribosomal RNA (406 nucleotides) under uncultured bacterium. RNAcentral describes it as "partial 16S ribosomal RNA". It matches the Rfam family "Bacterial small subunit ribosomal RNA", at positions 30 to 526 of the family's 1533-position model. The record is from RNAcentral.